RNAcentral lists this ribosomal RNA (502 nucleotides) under uncultured bacterium. Its description in RNAcentral is "bacterial SSU rRNA". It matches the Rfam family "Bacterial small subunit ribosomal RNA", at positions 46 to 507 of the family's 1533-position model. The record is from RNAcentral.
GCCUAAGACAUGCAAGUCGAACGAGAUGGCCCAGUGAAGGUUGAGUGCUUGCACGAGACUGAAUCUGGAUUCCCAUCUAGUGGCAGACGGGUGAGUAACACGUGGGUGACCUACCUUUUCGUUGGGGAUAACAGUUGGAAACGAUUGCUAAUACCGAAUAAAUGUAAGAGUCAAUUUUACAUUGAAAGGAGCCUUUAAAGCUUCGCGAUUAGAUGGGCCUGCGGCGUAUUAACUAGUUGGUGAGGUAAUGGCUUACCAAGGUGACGAUGCGUAGCCGAACUGAGAGGUUGAUCGGCCACAUUGGGACUGAGACACGGCCCAAACUCCUACGGGAGACAGCAGUUAGGAAUAUUCGUCAAUGGAGGAAACUCUGAACGAGCAAUGCCGCGUGAGUGAUGAAGGUCUUAUAGAUUGUAAAACUCUGUUGUAUGGAAAAACGACUAGGUUAGGAAAUGAACUUGGUGUGAUGGUACCAUACCAGAAAGCCCCGGCUAACUACGUG